CAAGAGCGUAUGUAAAAGUUGUUGCAGUUAAAAAGCUCGUAGUUGAACCUUGGGUUUGGUUGGCCGGUCCGCUUUUUUGCGAGUACUGGAUUCAACCGAGCCUUUCCUUCUGGCUAACCAGUCGUUUCGGCGGCUGGCGAACCAGGAUUUUUACUUUGAGAAAAUUAGAGUGUUCAAAGCAGGCAUUAGCUUGAAUAUAUUAGCAUGGAAUAAUAGAAUAGGACGUUAUGGUUCUAUUUUGUUGGUUUCUAGGACCAUCGUAAUGAUUAAUAGGGACGGUCGGGGGCAUCAGUAUUCAGUUGUCAGGGGUGAAAUUCUUGGAUUUACUGAAGACUAACUACUGCGAAAGCAUUUGCCAAGGACGUUUUCAUUAA
This 374-nucleotide ribosomal RNA is filed under the name uncultured eukaryote. RNAcentral's name for it is "partial 18S ribosomal RNA". It matches the Rfam family "Eukaryotic small subunit ribosomal RNA", at positions 592 to 976 of the family's 1831-position model. The record is from RNAcentral.